CCUACGGGAGGCAGCAGUGGGGAAUAUUGCGCAAUGGGCGAAAGCCUGACGCAGCGACGCCGCGUGAGGGAUGACGGUCUUCGGAUCGUAAACCUCUGUCAGCAGGGAAGAACGGUCACUGUGCUAAUCAGCAGUGAAUUGACGGUACCUGCAAAGGAAGCACCGGCUAACUCCGUGCCAGCAGCCGCGGUAAUACGGAGGGUGCGAGCGUUAAUCGGAAUUACUGGGCGUAAGGCGCGCGUAGGCGGUAUGGCAAGUCAAGGGUGAAAUCCCCGGGCUCAACGUGGGAACUGCCUUUGAAACUGGAAAGCUGGAGUGUGUGAGGGGAUAGUGGAAUUCCAGGUGUAGGAGUGAAAUCCGUAGAUAUCUGGAGGAACAUCAGUGGCGAAGGCGACUAUCUGGCACAUAACUGACGCUGAGGAGCGAAAGCGUGGGUAGCAAACAGGAUUAGAUACCCUUGUAGUC
Molecule: ribosomal RNA, 465 nt
Filed under: uncultured bacterium
Lineage: Bacteria
Description: partial 16S ribosomal RNA
Rfam family: Bacterial small subunit ribosomal RNA
Source: RNAcentral